RNAcentral lists this non-coding RNA (65 nucleotides) under Desulfobulbaceae bacterium. RNAcentral describes it as "Fluoride sequence". It matches the Rfam family "Fluoride riboswitch aptamer (crcB RNA motif)". Lineage: Bacteria; Pseudomonadati; Thermodesulfobacteriota; Desulfobulbia; Desulfobulbales; Desulfobulbaceae. The record is from RNAcentral.
AAAUAUUAAGGCGAUGGAGUUCGCCAUUAACCGCUUGCCUGCAAGCUGAUGACUCCUGCCCUCCG